Molecule: RNA transcript, 10385 nt
Organism: Amyelois transitella
Lineage: Eukaryota; Metazoa; Arthropoda; Insecta; Lepidoptera; Pyralidae
Exons: 25
Source: RefSeq, a predicted model, not a curated record
AUUUCAGUUCGUGACUAAUUCUGAUAACGUUCAGCCGUCUCGUAACUGUAACGGUUAUUUUGAAGUUUAAUUUAAAAAUUAAAUCGAAAUAGCAGUUUUUGUGUUUGUGUAAUUUUUAAGUGAAGUGAUUCAAAAUUGCGAUUUUCAAGAUCUUUCACCGGCGAUCCGGAGAGAUCGAGGAGGUUAUGCAGCAGAAGGCACCAGUGGUGCCUUCCAAUAAUAAAUACCAGCAACUUUCUCUACCAACUACCCCAACAGUUCGAAGCAAAGGUUUCUCUGCGAAUUUUUUUAAAGCUACAUUUAGUUCCCGAAGCAAAGCGGUACCCACCGCCUCAUCUGUUGACUACGUCGAGGAAACUACCAAGAUAGGCAGCGCAGAGACUAAGCCUAUUACUAGAAAUAGACCACGGACAGCUCCACAAGAAUCGUCUACAAAAGUAAAGCUAAAACGGGCAGAUCUUGCGAAGCCACCUGUCAAGCGACCUACGAAACUUGCACUUGACCCUAAACGUCCUGAGAGGGUCAAGUCAUCAGCACCAGACCCAGGGGGAUCCAUAACUCCAGGAACUCCCAGACAUGAACUGAAAACACAGAGCUCAGUCAUACAAAUUGUGAAAAAGUCCCACAUUCUCAAUCCAUCGGAUAGCCUGCUGCCGCCAUCUUUAAAACCGAAAGUAGCCGAAAAAAACGUGAAAUUGACGAAGAAUAUCAACAAUAAUGACGUUUGGACAAAUGCAAAUGAUAUCAAAACCUUCAGGAGACCAGCACCACCGACGCCGUUGAGAGGCCCGAGCCAAGGGAAGCAGGAGUCUACCCUGAAAGGAGCCCCCUCAGUAUCCAGCCUAGAUUCCAAGCACCACAAAGUAGCGCCUGCCAGAGAUAAGUCUUUGAAGAUAUUUGGCUCAAAAGAGAAAUUACAUAAGCCGAAGAAGAAAGAUUUGGGAAAUAACAAUGCGGUGUUGGAAGAUCCUGAGUUGAGGGAAGGGCUGGAUACGUAUGAAGAUGCGCAGGCUAGGGUCAAUGAUUACGGGAGCGCUGAGGAGCUGGGGUCGAUAGGCGAGCGAGGGUCUCAGGAGUGCGUGAGUCUGCCGGUGACCCUGAACGCUGAACACAUGCCGGGUUUCCAGGAGGUGGAGCUGGACCUCCGGCCCAGAUUGCCAUCCGAGGGAUCUUUGGCAUCGGGUGCUCGCGAGAUCGAAACCCUUAGACGAGAGCUGGAAGCCACUGCUAUGGAGCGAUCACAGCUGCAGGCCAGGGUUGACGAGCUGCUGGACAGGGCUGCCGAGGCUGACCGGCUGAGGAGUGAGCUUGAUAGGUUGAAGAGCAUAGAAGCGGAACACGAAGCGGCAUUGGAGCGUCUAGCGGACGAGAACGGAGCGUUGCGCGCGCGCCUCCGCGGCGUCGCGCACUCGCCGCUCUCCGACAGCGAGAAGCGGCAACUGUUGCUUGCGCCGGCGCCGAGGCGGAUGCACUCGUCUGCGCCGGCGUCCAUCGCACUGGCUCAUAAUGGCGAAGGUGACAGCGGUGAAGCCAGUACACCGGAAUGGGACAAGCAUUCCUCGUCAUCUCUCAGCGAGGUGUCAGUUGCGUGCUUGCAGGACCGGAUACAGCAGAUGGAAGAACAUCAUUACAGCACAAGCGAAGAGCUGCAGGCCACGUUGGCGGAGCUGGCCGACCUUCAGACGCAGCUGGCGGACGCCCACGCCGACAACGAGCGCUUGGCUGAGGAGAAGCAGGUGCUGCUGGAGUCGCUGUGCCAGCAGACUGAGAAGCUGGAGGACAGCAGGACUAAGGUGGACACAUUACAGUUGUUGUUGAGGGAGGGCGCUGAGCCGGAAACCGUAGUAGUGCCCGACACCGACCAACAGCUGUUCGCCGUCUUGAAGGUGUCGCAAGAAGAACGUCGCCUUUUACAAAGCAAGCAGGAGCAGCUGGAAGCGGAGCUGAAGGAGACCAAAGCGGCUGUGGAGGAGAAAACCAAAGAGAAUAACGCGCUACAGGAGAGAGUCAGGGUACUGGAAGGUAGUUUAGAACGAACAGAGGCUGAGCGCUUACAAUGGGAACACGAGGCCGGCGCGGCAUUGGAAAGCGCUGCGGCGAAGCAGCAUCAGCUCGACUCCAUGUCUGAUCUGCUGGAGGCUGCUAAAGCCAAGCAGCUAGCGGAGCGCGCGGGCGCGGCGGAGGGCGCGGCGGAGGCGGAGGCGGCGGCGGCGGCGGCGCGGCGCGACGCGGACAGCGCGGCGGCGCGCGCGCACGCGCUGGCCGAGCGCCUGGCGCACGCGCAGCGACAGCUCGACCGCGCGCACUCCGACGCCAGGAAGCUGCACGACGACGCCAGGGUGUCCCGCAACAACGCCAAGUCCACGAUAUCGGAGCUGGAGUUCCAGCUGGAGCAGCUGCGGCAGGAGAAGGCGGCGCUGCAAGCGGAGAUCAAGACGCUGCAGGACUCUGUGUCCGAGCUGCAGAUACAGGUGCAAGUGACGUCGGAGGAGAAGCUGUCGCUGAUGUCGCGCGCGGGCGAAGCCCUAUCCCGCGCGGGCGAGGCGGAGCGCCAGCUGCAGGACGCGCGCGCGCGCCUGGCGCAGCUGGCGCGCGACCGCGACCGCGACGAAGCGGAAUGGAAGCAGUUCCAAAGCGACCUUCUCAUGACCGUGCGAGUAGCCAACGACUUCAAAACCGAAGCCCAGAGGGAACUCGAGAGGCUUGUGUCAGAAAACAAAAUAGCCAGAGACAGAAUCCGUCUGCUGGAAGACCAGAUCCACUCUAUGAAAGGUGCUAACAAGUCAGGAUCUGUGGAUAACAUACACAAUUAUUCAGAUGAUGAGAAACGAUGGUCAAGAGAUUCAGAUACGUUAGAUUAUCUUAGUGAUAAUGCGUCUAAGGAUAUCUUUAAGAAUAUCAGAACGAGGUAUCUCAGUAGAGUACAUAGCGUUUCUGAUCCAGCGCUUAAAGACAGUAUUGUGGAACAAGCAUUUUUUAAAUCUAAUAAUGUACCCGAACCUUAUAAUCAUCAUCCAACAGAAAAUCCAUUGGGAGAUGUCAAAAUUCAAAUUAAUAAUGUUACAAUAGACGAAACAGAUGAUAUAAGUGUUAAAGAUAAUUCUUCAGAGAGUGUUCGCUCGAAUAAACAAAGUGAUGUUUCUGCUGAGACAGUCCUCUCUUCCUUUGAUACCAAAGAGCUUAAGAGGCAGGACGCUCUAGAUGAAGCUAAUUCUAAAAUCAGCAGACAACAAGCUUUAGAUUUAUCAACUCUAUCUCGAGAAACAUCUGAGGAUACGUUGUUCCUCAAAAUAAACACUCACGAUAACAACUUAAUAACAAAAUCAGAAUCUUGUUUACCGCCUAAACCCAAACCCAGAACAAGAACUAUUUUCAGCAGAAAUUUGUCUGGAAUGUUCAACGGUAAACCUAAGUCAUAUAGUAUGGAUAAUUUGAAUAAACAUGAUGACUUCGACAAUGCCUUGAAAGAAGCUACUAGCGUAGACUUUUUAAGUAGUAAUAUUAAUUAUAGCGAUAUGUCAUUGUAUACAUUGGGUUCUGAUAGUGUAUUUUCUUCGCCUAUUGAUAGAAAUAUAAACAAAGUUAGAACUUCGUCAACUCAGUCUUUUAAAACUCCUUUGAUGAGCUUUAGUUCUACGAAUACUCUAACAGAUUCAGCCAAAAAAAUCAAUGGCCAAAAUAAUGUUGAAGCUCAAUCUGACUUUGGUAUAAACAAUAAAAGUAAGGAAAACAACGAGAUACCGAUAGUAAAAGCAGAAUCCAUAUUACCUUUUCCAUAUCCUGAUGACAUAAAUCGAGUGCCAAAAUUGGCACCAUUUAUACCGCCAGUUCAAGAAAAUCAAUUUCAUUUCGAAGAUACUUUUGAGAAAGAUAUUAAAAAGGCAAAUGAAGAUUUAAAAUACACUUUUAGGUCUGCAAUAGAAAGAAUUAUUGGUACGAAUAAAGAAAAGAAAUCUUCAACCCAAAAAUUGCAUAAAAGGGAUUCCAAUUCAAGUCAUAAAUCAAAGAGUGCAUCUCCAUCACCUGAAUUUGUCAAAAGAGAAUCUGAAAAAUCUGACGAAUGUGAUCCUAUUUCUAUUGAAAGUAAACAAAAUGAAUCAAUUUCUAACGAAGUGCCUGAAAUCGUUAAGAAAUCUGCAGCUUCAAAACCAGUUGAAGAUCAUUUCAGAGCAACAAGAGUAGACUCUCCACCUUUACAAAUAUUUGACUUGAAUGAAUCAAAUCAGGAUCAUCUGAAUACAAUUAAUAUCCCAGACGUCGAAAAAUCUUUUUACUCUGAAGAUUGCAUUAAUUCAGCUUCAGGGAGUGUUGACAAAGUGGAUAAAGAGAUUAAUAUUGAUUUUGCUCCAAAUAAGGAUGGAAUAUUAAGUAAAAUAGAAGCAGUGAACGAAGAAAAAACCUCACCGCAAAACCUGAACUGUAAUAAUCCUUUUAUUGAAACAAAAAAUAUUCCAAACGACCAGGUCAAUACUCCUGCUAAUUUGGUUGAUGAUGUUAGUUAUCAUCUAAAAAUUAAUACGGUAAAUGACAUACCCACUAGUAAUGAGUCAUGUCUCGACAAUCAAGCAGCAUUAAUUAAUUAUAAUUCAGCCAUUUUGCAAAAUGACGGUACUAACAAAGGAGGCAGAUUAAAAGCAUUUCUGACACCAAUCAAAAUUGUGAAUGGUGCUAUAGGAAGCACGUCUCCAAUUAUACUCAGCCCAGUUUUAAUUCAACCCGUAUUUUUUAAGCAACAACAGCAAGCUAUUGAGCAAAAACCAGAUGACAAAAGAGCUACCGUGUAUUAUGAUGAUAUCGAUCAAGUUAUAACAAAAGAAAACUCACAUACAAAAGUUAGUAAUGUAAGCAACAAAAAGGGCAUAUUUGAAAAAAGUACAAAAGCAAAGAACUUACCUUUCCUUUCAUGGAAAAAUUUGGGAAAUAAUGAAAAUUCAGACCAAACAAGUGCAAUAUCUCCUAAAAUUAAACCAUCACCUCCCAAAGUCGUAAAGUUGAGUAAAACGCCGGAGUGGUUAAUAGAUAAUCGGUACUAUCAACCUAUUGAUAAUGUUCCAUUCGUAAUUAACACUACACAGUCAUUCACUUCAAACUUACCAGUAGAAAAGAAACAAUUGUUAAAGGUUACAAAUCCUUUCUUACCCAUUGUCGAAUCUAGAAGACCAUCGGAACAAGAGAAUUAUUAUGAAGAAAUCGGCGAACCAGUGAUACCAGUAGAAAAUAAGAACGCCGCUGACGACGACAAAUUAUCAAAAAAGGCUCAAACAAAAUCAUUCGAAGACUUUGCUGCAGUAACACGCGAGGCAAUAUUGAAAGUGCCAAGAAGGGUAAAGAAACCUAAAAAAGAAUUCUCCAAAAGUGAAGAUCCCACUAGUAUAGUCAAAGAAAUGGCUUAUAUGACAAAAUCUGUGAUUUCACUGUCACGUACGCCCAGUGCUAAAGAAGUUCCAAAGAAGACCAACAAUGCGAUUGGAGAAAUUGUGCAAACUCUGGAACGAAAACCACCGUGCCCUGAGCCCAGGAAAGCGGAGGUAGCAACCAGAAAAUUGUCUCUCCAAGGGCAGAAAGCGCCCACAAUAGAUACUAACACGGGGUCUUGGCCCCGGGAACCUAAAACUCGGGAACCUAAACCUUAUUGGAAAACCCUAGAACAUAAGCGUCUAUCGCACCCAAUAAGAUCUCUGAACGACCCGCCGCCUCCGAGACCGUUACCCAUCCCCCCUCGAACAGAAGAGACCCCCCCUCCUCCGUUGCUGACCAGCGCCUCGCUACAGGACAUCAUGGCCACGGCGGCCUCGCACAGGCGGAAUAAAGGCGUAAGCCGUCAAGACUCUCGUCUGUCAGUCAAGUCCCUGAUCGAAAGCAUUGAGAACGCAGCCAAGGCGGCCAAGCAGCAGUCUCCAGCCACCACACCAGUCGGAGAAUGGCCUCAACAAACAACAGUGGUGUCGGCAACCAACAACACGCUGAAGAACGGCCUGACAGAGCCUCCCGCGGCCACCAACGGCAUCACCGCCACCUUCGCGACCAAACCCCCAGCGGCCAGGAACGCCAGAACAACCCCUAUUACUAAUGAGUCGCCGCCGCCGACCUCGGGCUCCAACAUUCCCGACGAGCAGCGGGCCUUGGCGACGCUGCAGCAGAAGGCCAUCGAGUCUUUCGUGCGAAGGAACAGCUAUGGGGAUAUAUGUGAAAGAAAGGAUCCCCUGAACGCGCUGCAGAAAAACGGCGGGUCCAAACGUAACGCGUUACUGAAGUGGUGCCAACAGAAGACCCUGGGGUACAACAACAUAGACAUUACCAAUUUUAGUUCAUCGUGGAACGACGGCAUGGCACUGUGCGCUCUCCUGCAUUCCUAUCUCGGCGAGGCGCGCAUCAGCUACGGCUCGCUGUCGCCACACGACAAGCGCACUAACUUCUCCGUAGCCUUCGCCGCGGCAGAGUCCGUGGGCAUCCCCACCACGCUGAACAUCCAAGACGCAGUCCAAUCAAAGAAAGUUCGUAUGUUCGUUUCUCAUCAUGCCCUUGGCCGGGAUUCGAACCCGGGACCUCUGGUGUAACAGACAAGCGCACUACCGCUGCGCCAGAGGCCGUCUUUUAGUUAGCCUUGCUCAUCACGAGAGUGCCUUCACAGACUGCACUGUUUUCUUGCCUCGCUACAAAAUAAGAUUUAUAAAUAAUGCAAGUUUUAACGCGCACGUGACGCACCUUUAUUUUAUCUCGGACGUUUUGUAUCAUUUUACAAUGAUCUGUGGUUAGUCGCUCGGUGAAAUAAAAGUACCUUACGUUCGCGUUUAAUACCUGUAUUAUUUAUAAAUAGUGUAAUGCAACGCGAAAGUUCAAAACCCCUAUGAAAUAACUUUAGUUUUGUAUUGCUCACAACCUAUUCAAGGGGGAGCUGACGAUACAAGUUCUGCGUUGCGCGUGGGCAUGCCAUCGCCGAAUGGUCGCCCGAAUCAUAUCUUGCAGAUGUCCGAUUAAUUCUACUAAACUGGUCAGUAGGUAUAAUUGUAUUACACCCAGCUCAUGAUAGGACGAUGGAAUGGCACUAUGCGCUCUCUUUCACUCGUACUUCCGCGACGCGUGAAUCAACUUCUCCGACAAACUGACUUCUCUGUAGCCUUCGUCGCGGCAGAGUCCGUGGGCAUCCCCACCACGCUGAACAUCCAAGACAUGAUCCAGCAGGAGCGGCCCGACUGGCAGCAAGUCAUGGCAUACGUCACCAGCAUCUACAAGCACUUCGAGACUUAACUCGAUUCUGAGACCGAUCUUGAUUGUAUCUUAGUCGAGGCUGUGAGACCUAAACUCGAUUUUAUGAGGCGAUUUUGAGAAUUAACUCGGAACAUAUUAUUCGAUUCCGAGUUCUAACUCGGUUAUACUCGAUUCUAAGUUCUAAAACACAAAAUAUAACAGAACGCAUCCAGUUAGGCAGGGCCGGAUUUGGAAAUAUGGAGGGAUCAAACAAUUAUCAUCUUAGACAAAAGAUCAAUUUUCCGUUAAGAUUUUGAAAAUGAAAUGGGGUCACGAUUUUAGGUCCAGGGAAACGAAGUGACGAUUCCAUCAUAUUGAUAUCUUAAUUUAUUUUCUAUUUUAUUCUUGAAAAUACUAAUAAUGCCUCCAAAAUCCGGCUCUGUACAUUUUUUAUGACUGGAGCAAUGAUUUGAAGGUAAUUUUUCUAUUAUGUGAUAUUAAAAAUGCGCCACUAAGAAAAAGCAAAUGGUGUUACAUAAAAAAAAAUGUACAACCUAUAUUUUAGGUAAUAUUUCUAACUUAAUAUCUCAUCGCAGAAAGGCCCGUCCACCUCCAUAUUAUUCGGGAAAUGGAGACGAAAAUAAACAGUUGUGAUUAAGUGAAUUGAAUCACGAUGAACUCUACCAUGUAAUAUACUCUAUAUUUUUGAAUAUUUUUCCCAUAGAUACUAAUGGGAACUAUUUUGGAAAAUGUGUAAACUUUGCAAUAUACAAUGCAUACCUACCUACUAAAAUGUAUAACAUUCCUAAAUGCUGUAGGCAAGUGAUAUUUGUAGACUUGGGAUGAAAUGAUUGCCUUUGUUCGGCCUUGUAGUGUCAGUUAGGGCGGUAAGGAAUUGAUGGGUUAUUCCCAAUAUUAUGGUAAACAUUUAUGAAUCAAUGCAAUUUCGGUGUUAACUUAAAAAAAAAAAUAUAAGAGAAAUAAACAACAUUGCAUAAUUUAUGAUUUUUUUCGAAAUCUGGUGUCGAAUUUUUUGUUUACAAAGCCUGCCCUUGUAGUUAGGUACAUGCGUUUAUCGCGCGAAAAACUAUCGCUGUUUCGCUUUUUAUUAUGAAAUACAACGGGACAGCAAUAGUUAUUCGCGCGAUAAAUACGGCGUCGCGCGGGCCAUGUUACGGGGGCAGGAUCUUGAAAACUGAUUUAUAAUAAAAAUUAUAUUAUUGCAAACAUAAAUAUAAUAUAAUAAUUAAAUCUUUACCAUAUAUUGUGAAAUCUCCUUAAAAUAUACUGUCUUUCCAUAUAAAAGACUGAUAUUGUAGAUAAGUAGCGGGAUGAGCGUCGUUUGGUGUUGCCUACCCGAAUAUUUAAAAAAAUUCUUUUGUUAAACUAUAUCUUCCUGAAACUUCUAAAAAAAUUUCAAAAUAUUGAUUUUUCGGGAAGUAAAACAUAAAAAGACAAUUAAAUAAGUCCAAAAAAUUUUUUUUUUUUUAUAUAAUUAAAAUAUUUAAGGUAGGUAAUGCUGAUCGACGUUUGGUUAGAUAAAAAAUGAAUAUGCCUUAAAUGUCCAGGCCUUGCGACAUAUAGCUUAUGUUACUCGUAUUACUUAUAUAUGUAUUGUACUUGUACUUUGUGUAUCUACUGCUAAGCAAUGUAAACCUUAUUGACAGUACUGUAAAGUCGAAUUUUGUCUGCGAGUGUAGCUGCUCAUAUAAUCUCCAGAAAACUUGACGCAUUAAUAAGUAUCUAUCUAUUUUUAUAUACCUAAUGGAAGUUUAAAAAAAAGUACUUUUAAAGUUGAUUAGUCUAGUCGCUACUUUAAACUUUUGAACUAAUGGUGUGUUCUAAUUUGUUCAAAGUUUAAAAGUGUUCAUCGCUAAGCUAUCUGAAAAAUGUUUACUUUAAUAGUCAUCACCAUUCUUGAAGAAAAAUUCUAUUUCUAUUACUAUGGUUAAACAAUUUUCAAAAUACCUUCAGACUUCAUUACCAGCAAAAUAAUCUUUCCUAUAUAGCGUCAAAUUAUACAGCAUUUACCGAAAAAAACAUGAAAGAGAUAGAGAAAGUGGCUCGAAAUUCAUCAAAAUCAUUCCAGUAAGGUGUUUAGUUAACAGAGUUUAUGGAACUGUACAAUGGUACUAGUGUCAAAACGAACUGGUUUUUAUGAUGUGACUUACGCUAAAGACGUCCAAUAUGUGUUGUGUUGCUCCUACUAUAAGUUUGUUGGUGUGGUGAACGUUUAGAAUAUGUGGAAAUUGAACUCGUUCAUUUCAAAUUAAAGUUUACACCCAAAUUGAGGAUUAGGUGGCAGUAGAGUGGAUAUAGACAAUCGGACCUGUUUAAAUUUAAAACUAAAUAUAAAUAUUAUGAUAUGCUAGUCUGUUUGAUCUUCCAUUGAUACGAGGUUAUUAAGGUUAUUGACCUUCUCAUUAAAUUCAGAACUUGGGUAAGUAUAUUUUAAAGACCCACUAUUAAUAAAUAUUUCAACAUCCAUCUUGUAACAAUUUAUUCCUUAGAUGUAAGACGUCACCUUAACAAGAAUAUUUAUUCCAUUAUAACACUACUGAAUGACUGAAAUGAAUGAAUGACUGAACGACAAUGUGAUUGAAUGAUUUCAAUUUACGGCAAUAUUUUGUUACGCAAAAUAUUUUGCUAAAACAUUGCGUUUAGAAAAAUUUGAUUGGUUUUCAAAUGAGUUAUUCUUGUAAGCCCAAAAUAAGCCAUGUCACAUAAAAAAUUGCAGUCUACAUGUUUUAGAUCAACUUGCAGAGACAGUGUUUUUUUUUUUCAGUACAUAAGUAUUUUGGUAUAACUUAUAUAAGUCGCUUGAAGUAUUAGUUUUAGGAGUUUUACUCCUAAUAUAUGAAUGAAUAUUGCGGAAUUAAUUUUAUAACACUAGAGGGUAGGUAGCUAUUUCCCUCCGUAUUCAUUUUAUUCUUUGUUGAUUCUGAUUUUCAAACAUUCUUUAAAAUUAGUUUUUAUUUUUUUACUCGAAAGGUUGUAUGUGGCAUGGCGUUGAUGUGUUUGUAACGGUGAUAUAUGAUAUUUGUACAUGGGACUUGAUACCUAAUAGAUGUUUUGGGCCAUUCGUUAUAUUUUUGACUCAGUUGUUAUGCUGUCUUUGUAGAUUAAUUAUUGUCUAUUUUGAGAGAUUGUAUUUUUUGUAAAUAUAGCUUAAAUAAAGUUCCUGAAUUAUUAUAAUA